CCUACGGGUGGCAGCAGUGAGGAAUAUUGGUCAAUGGGCGCAAGCCUGAACCAGCCAAGUAGCGUGAAGGAAGACUGCCCUAUGGGUUGUAAACUUCUUUUAUACGGGAACAACCACAGGUACGUGUACCUGUCUGCGUGUACCGUAUGAAUAAGCAUCGGCUAACUCCGUGCCAGCAGCCGCGGUAAUACGGAGGAUGCGAGCGUUAUCCGGAUUUAUUGGGUUUAAAGGGAGCGUAGGUGGUUUGUUAAGCCAGCUGUGAAAUACUGUAGCUCAACUACAGCCGUGCAGUUGGUACUGGCAGACUUGAGUGCACAAGAGGAAGGUGGAAUUCAUGGUGUAGCGGUGAAAUGUUUAGAUAUCAUGAAGAACUCCGAUUGCGAAGGCAGCCUUCUGGGGUGCAACUGACACUGAUGCUCGAAAGUGUGGGUAUCGAACAGGAUUAGAUACCCCGGUAGUC
Molecule: ribosomal RNA, 460 nt
Filed under: uncultured bacterium
Lineage: Bacteria
Description: bacterial SSU rRNA
Rfam family: Bacterial small subunit ribosomal RNA
Source: RNAcentral